RNAcentral lists this ribosomal RNA (228 nucleotides) under uncultured bacterium. RNAcentral's name for it is "partial 16S ribosomal RNA". It matches the Rfam family "Bacterial small subunit ribosomal RNA", at positions 103 to 334 of the family's 1533-position model. The record is from RNAcentral.
CGGGUGAGUAAUGUAUCGGAACGUGCCCAGUCGUGGGGGAUAACUGCUCGAAAGAGCAGCUAAUACCGCAUACGACCUGAGGGUGAAAGCGGGGGAUCGCAAGACCUCGCGCGAUUGGAGCGGCCGAUAUCAGAUUAGGUAGUUGGUGAGGUAAAGGCUCACCAAGCCGACGAUCUGUAGCUGGUCUGGGAGGACGACCAGCCACACUGGGACUGAGACACGGCCCAA